RNAcentral lists this long non-coding RNA (268 nucleotides) under Volvox carteri. RNAcentral's name for it is "long non-coding RNA (VCAR_LNC000544)". The record is from RNAcentral. Lineage: Eukaryota; Viridiplantae; Chlorophyta; Chlorophyceae; Chlamydomonadales; Volvocaceae.
GAUGCAUUCCCGAAGAAAGGGAGAGCAAGUAAAAGAAAGGCAAAAAGAUGUCUUCUUGCUCUCCUUUUUGUCUGAGGGCUACAGCACAGUCUGCCUUCCAUAAAGGCGGCAGGGGAGGAGGCGGCAGGGGACGAGGCGGCAGAGGAUAGAGGCGGCAGGGGAUAGAGGCGGCAGGGGUACGUAAGCCUGGACUGUACGUCUCAGCAGCCCUACGGGUAUCCUGGGGGGCUCAAUGCCACGGAGUGUGGGCCUCCACACAGCGAAACCC